GCAAACUUGGUCAUUUAGAGGAAGUAAAAGUCGUAACAAGGUUUCCGUAGGUGAACCUGCGGAAGGAUCAUUAACGUAUCUCGAGGCGUGCGUUGGGCCGCCCUGCUCCGGUCGCGAGGCCGUGCAGCGGGUGCCCUUCCUCGCCGAACCUUCACAAACCCACUGUGCACCUUCACGGCGGAGGGCCUGGGGCGAGAGCUCUGGGCCCAAAGCCGUAUCACAAACCCCACGUUUAAGAAUGUCUCAGCGUCCUCUGUGUCGCCUAACAAACAUAACAACUUUCAACAACGGAUCUCUUGGCUCUCGCAUCGAUGAAGAACGCAGC
This 325-nucleotide unclassified non-coding RNA is filed under the name uncultured fungus. RNAcentral's name for it is "partial contains small subunit ribosomal RNA, internal transcribed spacer 1, and 5.8S ribosomal RNA". The stretch from base 1 to 73 matches the Rfam family "Eukaryotic small subunit ribosomal RNA", at positions 1759 to 1831 of the family's 1831-position model. The record is from RNAcentral. Lineage: Eukaryota; Fungi.